This is a long non-coding RNA of Parus major (Great Tit), 1523 nucleotides long. RefSeq lists it as uncharacterized. Lineage: Eukaryota; Metazoa; Chordata; Aves; Passeriformes; Paridae. The transcript is spliced from 2 exons. The record is from RefSeq and is a predicted model, not a curated record.
GGACCACUGAGGGGGUUUUGGGGGGACCCGGGCCCACUGAGGAGGUUCUGGGGGUCCCAGGUCCAUUCAGGAGGUUCUGGGGGUCCCAGGUCCAUUCAGGAGGUUCUGGGGAGUCCCAGGACCACUGAGGAGGUUCUGGGGAGUCCCAGGCCCAUUCAGGAGGUUUUGGGGGUCCCAGGCCCAUUCAGGAGGUUUUGGGGGAACCCAGGCCCAUUCAGGAGGUUCUGGGGGUCCCGGGCCCACUGAGGCGGUUUUGGGACAGCCCCAGGCUGGGAAAGCGGGGUUCGGGUGGGUUUUGGGGGGAUACAAGCCCGGCAGAGGGAGGAGGAGUUGCGGGCCCGGCCGGGAUCUGGCGGGAGGAUUUGGGGUGUCCCCGCUUUAGGAAUUUUGGUGUGGGAAUAAUUAACCCUUUAGUGACGAAAUGAGGCUUUUCUGCUUUAUUUAGGGGGUGGGUUUGGGGGUGCUCAGCCACGACCCCUCCCCAUCAAAACUCACAAACCCCCCCCCAAAGGCUGGGGUGAGUCCGAGUGCCCCCCCAGCCCUGCGGGGGGACAGGGGAGCGCGAUGGGGACGGGGGUUGGGACAAAGGGGGGGACACACUCCCAGAGCCCCCCCGGACCCCCCCAGCUCACCUGGCUGUCCGUGCCCGCCUGGAUCCCGCCCGGAGCCCCCAAACGCUGCGCUCAGAGCCGGGCGCCCCCCAGGACCCCUCCCCGCAGCCAGGGCUGCCCCCGGCCCAGCCCCUCGGAAGAAAGAGCCCCUUUGACGGAGCCCCCCCGGCAGGCGGGGGGGGAGGAAGGCUCGGGGGCCCUGCGGAACAAGGGCAGCCAUUGAUGGAGCGGGACAGGGGCGGCACCGAGGGCUCGGCCCCGCCGCUGGGGAGGGGUCCCCGCGUGUCCCCCGCCAUGGGGAGGGGGCACAGAGUGGGCACAGCCGCCCCCUCCCCCCGGACACCCGUCACCAGCCAGGGGCGCGGGCUGGGGGGCUCAUAGUGGGGCACCCCCACACUGGGACCCUCUGCCCCAGUUUUGGGGGUCUCCUUGUGCUCACCCCACUCCCCAACUCUCUCUUUUGGGGGUCACUCUGAGCUGAGCCCCCCCAAGCUGCCCCCCAGCCCUUCCUCCCCUCGAGCCCCCCAGAUCUGGGGACACAGACCCCCCACCCAAGCCCCUUCCUUUGGGGGGUCCCGGCCGCUCUGCCCCCCCCGGCCCAUCCCAACCUCCCGCUGGGGGUGGGGGGUGGAUCCCCCCUUCCUUCCUCCCCCUCCUCACCCCGGGAUGGGGCUGGGGGAGGAGGAGGAGGAGGAGGAGGAGGAGGAGGAGGACGGGCCGGGAGCGGAGCGCAGAACUCGCCGGGAGCAGAGCGGGAUCAGCCGGGAAGAGAGCGGGAUCCGGGAUGAGGAAUUCCCACCAUCGCCCACCCAGGACCCCCCCCGAGCCCCCCGAGAAGCGGCGCAGAGCAGCCCGAGGUUGGUUGGAUCAUUUCACAUGCCUUUAUUUCAGCAGUCAGGAAAAAAAAAAAAA